GGGGCACCCUGAUCAGCAAUGCCGCGUGUGUGAAGAAGGCCUGAGGGUUGUAAAGCACUUUCAGUGGGGAGGAGGGUGUAUUGGUUAAGAGCUGAUAUAUUGGACGUUACCCACAGAAGAAGCACCGGCUAACUCCGUGCCAGCAGCCGCGGUAAUACA
This 159-nucleotide ribosomal RNA is filed under the name uncultured Legionellales bacterium. RNAcentral describes it as "partial 16S ribosomal RNA". It matches the Rfam family "Bacterial small subunit ribosomal RNA", at positions 375 to 527 of the family's 1533-position model. Lineage: Bacteria; Pseudomonadati; Pseudomonadota; Gammaproteobacteria; Legionellales. The record is from RNAcentral.